UGGACUUCCGCUUUCCGCUUGGUUAAGAGCGAAGAUGACAGACACCCUCCUUGGUUGCUGUGAGGAUGGGACGAAACAGAAAGAGAAAACUGCCCAGCAGGUGCGAGAGGAGACCAUGCCAGGUGUCCGGAGCUUGUUAAGUGGAGCCAGAGAUGCAAUAGAUGAGCCAGUGUCAAAGCCAGAUCCUGCCCAGCCACCAGGCCACCUGUCCCAAGGCCCCCAUCUCUGGCAUCGCCCCUGGGAAUAGCUGCCAGGUAAGAGCAGGCCUUGUGGCCUCCAGCCCUGACUUCGCCUAGCACUGGCUGAGGGCUCCAAUCUUCCUGCCCCGGUCAUAAACUCAAGACCUACCCCCACCUCAAGUCCCAAGCUGAGCCCUGACAGUGAGCCCAGCACCCCUCAGAGCUCCACGGGGAGCACCA
Molecule: long non-coding RNA, 419 nt
Filed under: Fukomys damarensis (Damara mole-rat)
Lineage: Eukaryota; Metazoa; Chordata; Mammalia; Rodentia; Bathyergidae
Description: lncRNA (ENSFDAG00000031895.1)
Source: RNAcentral